GACGAACGCUGGCGGCGUGCUUAACACAUGCAAGUCGAACGGAAAGGCCUGCUUUCCCUUGUGGAUUGCGGGUACUCGAGUGGCGAACGGGUGAGUAACACGUGAGUGAUCUGCCCCCAACUUGGGUAUAAGCCUGGGAAACUGGGUCUAAUUCCCGAUAGGACUGCAGGGUGGUGCCUGUGGUGGAAAACGAUUUUCUAGUGGUUGGGGAUGAGCUCGCGGCCUAUCAGCUUGUUGGUGGGGUAAUGGCCUACCAAGGCGGCGACGGGUAGCCGGCCUGAGAGGGUGGACGGCCACAUUGGGACUGAGAUACGGCCCAGACUCCUACGGGAGGCAGCAGUGGGGAAUAUUGCACAAUGGGCGGGAGCCUGAUGCAGCGACGCCGCGUGGGGGAUGACGGCCUUCGGGUUGUAAACUCCUUUCGACCGCGAGGAAGCCACCUGGUUGGAAGGGUGGUGACGGUAGUGGUAGAAGAAGCACCGGCUAACUACGUG
This 494-nucleotide ribosomal RNA is filed under the name uncultured bacterium. RNAcentral's name for it is "partial 16S ribosomal RNA". It matches the Rfam family "Bacterial small subunit ribosomal RNA", at positions 28 to 507 of the family's 1533-position model. The record is from RNAcentral.